GAUGAACGCUGGCGGCGUGCCUAAUACAUGCAAGUCGAGCGAACAGACGAGGAGCUUGCUCCUCUGACGUUAGCGGCGGACGGGUGAGUAACACGUGGAUAACCUACCUAUAAGACUGGGAUAACUUCGGGAAACCGGAGCUAAUACCGGAUAAUAUAUUGAACCGCAUGGUUCAAUAGUGAAAGACGGUUUUGCUGUCACUUAUAGAUGGAUUCGCGCCGCAUUAGCUAGUUGGUAAGGUAACGGCUUUCCAAGGCAACGAUGCGUAGCCGACCUGAGAGGGUGAUCGGCCACACUGGAACUGAGACACGGUCCAGACUCCUACGGGAGGCAGCAGUAGGGAAUCUUCCGCAAUGGGCGAAAGCCUGACGGAGCAACGCCGCGUGAGUGAUGAAGGUCUUCGGAUCGUAAAACUCUGUUAUUAGGGAAGAACAAAUGUGUAAGUAACUAUGCACGUCUUGACGGUACCUAAUCAGAAAGCCACGGCUAACUACGUG
Molecule: ribosomal RNA, 497 nt
Filed under: uncultured bacterium
Lineage: Bacteria
Description: partial 16S ribosomal RNA
Rfam family: Bacterial small subunit ribosomal RNA
Source: RNAcentral